RNAcentral lists this ribosomal RNA (253 nucleotides) under uncultured bacterium. RNAcentral's name for it is "partial 16S ribosomal RNA". It matches the Rfam family "Bacterial small subunit ribosomal RNA", at positions 524 to 776 of the family's 1533-position model. The record is from RNAcentral.
UACGUAGGCAGCAAGCGUUGUUCGGAGUUACUGGGCGUAAAGAGUGCGUGGGUGGUGCCCUAAGUCUGUUGUGAAAUCUCCCGGCUUAACUGGGAGGGUGCGGUGGAAACUGGGGUGCUUGAGUGUGGGAGAGGUAAGCGGAAUUCCUGGUGUAGCGGUGAAAUGCGUAGAUAUCAGGAGGAACACCGGUGGUGUAGACGGCUUACUGGACCACGACUGACACUGAGGCACGAAAGCGUGGGUAGCAAACAGG